UACGGAGGGUGCGAGCGUUAAUCGGAAUUACUGGGCGUAAAGCGCACGCAGGCGGUUUGUUAAGCUAGAUGUGAAAGCCCCGGGCUCAACCUGGGAUGGUCAUUUAGAACUGGCAGACUAGAAUCUUGGAGAGGGGAGUGGAAUUCCAGGUGUAGCGGUGAAAUGCGUAGAUAUCUGGAGGAACAUCAGUGGCGAAGGCGACUCCCUGGCCAAAGACUGACGCUCAUGUGCGAAAGUGUGGGUAGCGAACAGG
RNAcentral lists this ribosomal RNA (253 nucleotides) under uncultured bacterium. RNAcentral describes it as "partial 16S ribosomal RNA". It matches the Rfam family "Bacterial small subunit ribosomal RNA", at positions 524 to 776 of the family's 1533-position model. The record is from RNAcentral.